RNAcentral lists this long non-coding RNA (230 nucleotides) under Elaeis guineensis (African oil palm). RNAcentral's name for it is "long non-coding RNA (EGUI_LNC037020)". The record is from RNAcentral. Lineage: Eukaryota; Viridiplantae; Streptophyta; Magnoliopsida; Arecales; Arecaceae.
CCUCGAGGAACUUACACGUUUGGAUAAUAAAGCAUCCUUCACAACCUCACCUACUCAACAAGACCCAUGUUUAGAUGUUCCGCCCUUUCCACUUAUCCAUUGCCUCUCUCUCCUCCACAUCAUACCCAUUCUAUGGUGACCCAUUCUCAAAACAAUAUUUACAAGCCCAAGAAAAUUUUUAGUCCCCCCAACACCCUCUUAUCCCCUAGUGAACCUACUUGUGUCACUCA